RNAcentral lists this ribosomal RNA (392 nucleotides) under uncultured bacterium. Its description in RNAcentral is "partial 16S ribosomal RNA". It matches the Rfam family "Bacterial small subunit ribosomal RNA", at positions 523 to 918 of the family's 1533-position model. The record is from RNAcentral.
AUACGGAGGAUGCAAGCGUUAUCCGGAUUUAUUGGGUUUAAAGGGUGCGUAGGCGGUUUGCUAAGCGGGAGGUGAAAUGCCGGCGCUCAACGUCGGAAGUGCCUCCCGAACUGGUGGACUUGAAUGACUCUGCCGUGGGAGGAAUGUGUAGUGUAGCGGUGAAAUGCUUAGAGAUUACACAGAACACCGAUUGCGAAGGCAUCUCACGAAGGGUUGAUUGACGCUGAGGCACGAAAGCGUGGGGAUCAAACAGGAUUAGAUACCCUGGUAGUCCACGCAGUAACGAUGAUGGCUAACCGCUGGGCUUAUCAGUUCAGUGGCCAAGCGAAAGCGAUAAGCCAUCCACCUGGGGAGUACGACCGCAAGGUUGAAACUCAAAGGAAUUGACGGGG